AAAAAGGCAGAUACUGUAGUAUAUUAUUACAUUGAUCAUGCCUGGUACAACGAACCCUCUUGUUGUUGAACGUGUAAUAGGAGAUGUUCUGGAGCCCUUUGCAAGUUCUAUCCCUUUGAGAGUUGUUUACAACAAGAACAAAGAAGUCAUCAAUAUCGGUGAGCUCAAACCCUCCCAAAUAUAAUCAACCAUCCAAGAGUUGAGGUUGGUGGAGAUGAGUCAGGAUCCUCUAUCUACACUCUGGUCAUGGUGGAUCACGAUGCACCCAGCCCAAGUGACCCAAAUAUGAGGGAAUAUCUGCACCGAAGAGAAUGUCUUUACCUCUUCAGGAUGGCGCCAAAAUUACAUCAUGACGAGAGAUUUUGCUUAUAAUCUUGGCUUACCAGUUGCUGCUGUGUAUUUCAAUUGUCAACGACAAGGUGGUUCUGGGGAAAGGAGGCUAAUGUUAUGAUUAUAAAUACUUAUAUUCGAAUUCGAUAGAAAGAAAAUAAUGGAAUAAGUGUUAGUUAUUACUUAAUUAUUAUUGCCCGAGCUAGGUGUAAGUGUAACCCCUGCAUAAAUCGGAUCAUGAUUUUGAUGACUGUAAAACUAUUAGAAGCCUUUUAAUAUGACAAGAAUAAAAAUGUACUGUAAUUCAUUUUA
Glycine soja is the source of this 642-nucleotide long non-coding RNA. RefSeq lists it as uncharacterized. Lineage: Eukaryota; Viridiplantae; Streptophyta; Magnoliopsida; Fabales; Fabaceae. The record is from RefSeq and is a predicted model, not a curated record. The transcript is spliced from 3 exons.